RNAcentral lists this unclassified non-coding RNA (271 nucleotides) under uncultured fungus. RNAcentral describes it as "partial contains 18S rRNA, ITS1, 5.8S rRNA, ITS2 and 28S rRNA". The record is from RNAcentral. Lineage: Eukaryota; Fungi.
AAGGAUCAUUACCGAGUGAGGGCCCUCUGGGUCCAACCUCCCACCCGUGUUUAUCGUACCUUGUUGCUUCGGCGGGCCCGCCUCACGGCCGCCGGGGGGCUUCUGCCCUCGGGCCCGCGCCCGCCGAAGACACCAUUGAACGCUGUCUGAAGAUUGCAGUCUGAGCAAUUAGCUAAAUAAGUUAAAACUUUCAACAACGGAUCUCUUGGUUCCGGCAUCGAUGAAGAACGCAGCGUAGCCACACCGAUGUGGAAGUAAAAGUCGUAACAAG